This 522-nucleotide long non-coding RNA is filed under the name Homo sapiens (human). RNAcentral describes it as "long independently transcribed non-coding RNA 1298 (LINC01298)". The record is from RNAcentral. Lineage: Eukaryota; Metazoa; Chordata; Mammalia; Primates; Hominidae.
GCGAGCCUCCCAGGAUUCUCAAACAGAAGCAGCCUGCCAGGCUGAGCCAUCCAGAAGACCCCCUCCCUCUUCCCUGAGCUCUGUUUCUUCCAUGAGGUUGAAGAAAAAUGCCGUCGUGGUCCCCUGCCUGCUUACUCAGCGUGUCAAGCAGGAGUUCUCAGCUCCAGUGUGCCAUGGAGGGCCUUGGGAAGAGGUCACAUACCAUUCCCAUCCCCAGGCACAGGAGCACUGAGGACCCUUCUUGACCUCCUGGAUCAGAAAGGCAGAGGAAAUGCUGGGCAGAAGUCAAGGUGUCAGUGGGCUGCCCUCCCUCCGGAGGCUCCAGGGGAGAAUCUAUUCCUCGCCUCUUCCAAUUGCUGGUGGCUGAUGGCACACCUUGGCUUGUGGCCACAAUACUCCAAUUUCUGCCUCCAUGGUCACACUGACUUCAUUUCUUCUGUGUGCAUCAAAUUUCUCUCUGCUCUGUGAUUGCAUUUAGGGCCCCUGGAUCAGCAAUGUCAUAAAAGACCCCAGUUCUUCAAA